AGCGAACGCUGGCGGCAGGCUUAACACAUGCAAGUCGAGCGCCCCGCAAGGGAGGCGGCAGACGGGAGAGUAACACGUGGGAACGUACCUUUCAGUUCGGAACAACCCAGGGAAACGUUGGGCUAAUACCGGAUACGCCCGUAAGGGGAAAGAUUUAUCGCUGAAAGAUCGGCCCGCGUCUGAUUAGCUAGUUGGUGAGGUAACGGCUCACCAAGGCGACGAUCAGUAGCUGGUCUGAGAGGAUGAUCAGCCUCAUUGGGAC
This 262-nucleotide ribosomal RNA is filed under the name uncultured bacterium. Its description in RNAcentral is "partial 16S ribosomal RNA". It matches the Rfam family "Bacterial small subunit ribosomal RNA", at positions 29 to 319 of the family's 1533-position model. The record is from RNAcentral.